This 496-nucleotide ribosomal RNA is filed under the name uncultured bacterium. RNAcentral describes it as "partial 16S ribosomal RNA". It matches the Rfam family "Bacterial small subunit ribosomal RNA", at positions 29 to 523 of the family's 1533-position model. The record is from RNAcentral.
AUUGAACGCUGGCGGUAUGCCUUACACAUGCAAGUCGAACGGUAGAGGAGCAAUCCUUGAGAGUGGCGAACGGGUGAGUAAUACAUCGGAACGUGCCCAGUUGUGGGGGAUAACGUAGCGAAAGCUACGCUAAUACCGCAUACGACCUGAGGGUGAAAGCGGGGGACCUGAGAGGGCCUCGCGCGAUUGGAGCGGCCGAUGGCAGAUUAGGUAGUUGGUGGGGUAAAGGCCUACCAAGCCUGCGAUCUGUAGCUGGUCUGAGAGGACGACCAGCCACACUGGGACUGAGACACGGCCCAGACUCCUACGGGAGGCAGCAGUGGGGAAUUUUGGACAAUGGGCGAAAGCCUGAUCCAGCCAUACCGCGUGUGGGAAGAAGGCCUUCGGGUUGUAAACCACUUUUGUCAGGGAAGAAAUGCUCUGGGCUAAUACCCUGGGGAGAUGACGGUACCUGAAGAAUAAGCACCGGCUAACUACGUGCCAGCCGCCGCAGUAA